CUGAAACACAAAGCAGGAGCGGUGAGGAACAGGUACCACUCUAGUGAUUUUGCCGCACGACGCAGAGAGAAGCACCAGGAUGGGAGGAAGCGUGCUUUUUUAUUUACUCCUGACUCUCGAAGACAGACCGGAACUCAGUGGCAGCUGGCCGGGUGUUCUCAGGCUCAAAGAAGAGGCGAGAUGGAAUGUGUUUGCCAGGAAGACGACAUCCUAGAGAGCCCCUCUGGAUGCUUGUCCAGCUUCAGUACAGAGAGAGCAGGCCUUUCUCAAGGGCAGCUGAGCUGUGAGAAUGGAUCCCGAGAGAGAAGGUGGAAGGCUGUCCAGGAGCCUGGGGACACUGUCACCCCUCCCUUACAUGUGAGGUGUAGAGCGCAGUAAGGAGAGUUUGGGAUGCUGGAAGAUGUCCAUGCUGCUGCACUGCGUUCUGAGGCUGGCCCUGGACUGUCUGCUCUCCUAGAACCAUCACCCUCAAAGCUCCAGCAUAUCCAAGAUGGUGUGAUAAGAUGGCCUGGCGUUGCCCGUGGGAGGAGAGAGAAGAGCAGUUGUUCUGUGUUGAUCCCACCAGUCGAGAAUAAAACCACUACCACAGUUUAAAGCCAAAUUUGAAGCAAGCUUUAAUAAAAUACUGGCCAGAUGAUUGGGCUCUGGCCAGGUCCACCUCUGGGUUUCCAGAAGAUGGCCCCAAAUCACGUUUUGCAAUAGUUUAAGUAUUUCCAAUCAGGUCCAAUCAGAGGCAAGCAUACAUCCUGACAUACUUCCUGCCUGUGAAC
Onychomys torridus (southern grasshopper mouse) is the source of this 770-nucleotide long non-coding RNA. RefSeq lists it as uncharacterized. The record is from RefSeq and is a predicted model, not a curated record. The transcript is spliced from 3 exons. Lineage: Eukaryota; Metazoa; Chordata; Mammalia; Rodentia; Cricetidae.